RNAcentral lists this ribosomal RNA (518 nucleotides) under uncultured bacterium. RNAcentral describes it as "bacterial SSU rRNA". It matches the Rfam family "Bacterial small subunit ribosomal RNA", at positions 10 to 518 of the family's 1533-position model. The record is from RNAcentral.
AGUUUGAUUCUGGCUCAGGAUGAACGCUAGCUACAGGCUUAACACAUGCAAGUCGAGGGGCAGCAUUGGGAUAGCUUGCUAUUCAGAUGGCGACCGGCGCACGGGUGAGUAACGCGUAUCCAACCUUCCUGCCAGUAGGGAACAGCCCGGCGAAAGUCGGAUUAAUGCCCUAUGUUCUUCAAUGCGGACAUCUAAGUUGAAGGAAAGAUUCAUCGCUGGCAGAUGGGGAUGCGUCCGAUUAGCUUGCCGGCGGGUAACGGCCCACCGGGGCGACGAUCGGUAGGGGUUCUGAGAGGAAGGUCCCCCACACUGGUACUGAGACACGGACCAGACUCCUACGGGAGGCAGCAGUGAGGAAUAUUGGUCAAUGGGCGUAAGCCUGAACCAGCCAAGUAGCGUGCCAGGAUGACGGCCCUACGGGUUGUAAACUGCUUUUAUGCGGGGAUAAAGUGCGGCACGUGUGCCGCUUUGCAGGUACCGCAUGAAUAAGGACCGGCUAAUUCCGUGCCAGCCGCCGC